AGGGGUGGGAUUAAAGAGCUGAGGUCUAUGGUGAUAGGUGGGAUGGCCUGAGAGAGGUGGUAUUAAAGAGCUGAGGUCUAUGGUGAUAGGUGGGAUUGGCUGAGAGAGUUGGGAUUAAAGAGCUGAGGUCUAUGGUGAUAGGUGGGAUGGGCUGAGGGGGUGGGAUUAAAGAGCUGAGGUCUAUGGUGAUAGGUGAGAUGGGCUGAGGGGUGGGAUUAAAGAUCUGAGGUCUAUGGUGAUAGGUGGGAUGGGCUGAGAGAGGUUGUAUUAGAGAGCUGAGGUCUAUGGUGAUAGGUGGGAUUAAAGAGCUGAUGUUUGGUAAUGUAUUAGUGUUAUGUGACUGCUUUAUACAAAAAUAUGUCAAAUAUUAAAUAUUUAAUAUUAAUUAAUAUUAAUAUUAAAAGGUCAAUGUAAAAUAUCUGUACAGUACCAGUCUAAAGUUUGGAUACAAUUUCUCAAUCCAGGGUUUUUCUUAAUGUUGUACUAUUUUCUACAUUGUAUAAUAAUAGUGAAGACAUUAAAACUAUGUUGGGAGGCCCACUUUUUUGUUUUUCUUUUCCUGUUGAUACUGAUUGUGUUAUUUAUUAUUAAACUAUAUUUCUUAACAGUUUUUUUCUUUUCUAAGGGUACAGGUUUUAUUCACUUACAAUUUGACAUGGAUAAUGAACCUGUAACCCAAAAAUUAUUAAACAAAUUAAGAAUUUAACCGACUGGCACCCGGGCUAGCAGGACAACCUCUCACCUAUAAAAGAUCGUUACUUAAGAUAUUAUUUAUAGUUUACAGUUUUUAAUUCAGUCAUGCUUCUUUGUAUUGCCCCCUUAUGGAAAUAAGGCUCCUUCAUAACAGACAUAGAGGCUCAACUGGUUUCCAUUUAGAGACUGAAACCGUGACGUGAAAUGGAACAACCGAGUUUGGAUUCAGGCUAGUAAUUUUUGCUCUGUUGUGACAGAAACCUAUACGUCUUCAACAAGGUAAUUUGUAAAAAGGACACAGAGAUAGGGCCUACCUGAACAACGAGCAAGCAAUCAUUGUUACCUGUCUGUGUCAUCGAAACCAGGGCAAUGUUCCACACUGUUGCUCCUCUUUCUUUCUGCCAGCUACUUAAAGCAGUUCUUGCCUCUCAUACACUUGGAGACGAAAUAUUGACUUUACAUUGCAGCCGGUAAAUGUUAAAAGAAUAUAUUAAUUAGGAAGAAAAUCAAACUACAAAUGCAUGGAUACUGGAGUGUUUUUGUCUACAUUCAUUUUAUUUUGAAAUGUGUCCUAUUUAAUGCAAGGCCCUCAUGCACUGUGUUGACAUUAUGGAUUUUCCCCACUCAUAUUUAUAUAAAUAAAUGUUGCCCAGAAAGAAUGUUGAUGUUAUGAUCUGACCAAAUACAGAGC
Oncorhynchus tshawytscha (Chinook salmon) is the source of this 1384-nucleotide long non-coding RNA. Lineage: Eukaryota; Metazoa; Chordata; Actinopteri; Salmoniformes; Salmonidae. The record is from Ensembl.